This 72-nucleotide transfer RNA is filed under the name Bos taurus (domestic cattle). It matches the Rfam family "tRNA". From Rfam's summary of the family: Transfer RNA (tRNA) molecules are approximately 80 nucleotides in length. Their secondary structure includes four short double-helical elements and three loops (D, anti-codon, and T loops). Lineage: Eukaryota; Metazoa; Chordata; Mammalia; Artiodactyla; Bovidae. RNAcentral also lists the same sequence under 4 other names. The record is from Rfam by way of RNAcentral.
UCCCUGGUCACUUAGCUGGUAAAGAAUCUGCCUGCGAUGCAGGAGACCCUGGUUUAAUUCCUGGUCAGGAAG